UACGGGGGGGGUAAGCGUUGUUCGGAAUUACUGGGCGUAAAGGGCUCGUAGGCGGCCAACUAAGUCAGACGUGAAAUCCCUCAGCUUAACUGGGGAACUGCGUCUGAUACUGGAUGGCUUGGAUUUGGGAGAGGGAUGCGGAAUUCCAGGUGUAGCGGUGAAAUGCGUAGAUAUCUGGAGGAACACCGGUGGCGAAGGCGGCAUCCUGGACCAACACUGACGCUGAGUGAGCGAAAGCCAGGGGAGCAAACGGG
This 254-nucleotide ribosomal RNA is filed under the name uncultured bacterium. RNAcentral's name for it is "partial 16S ribosomal RNA". It matches the Rfam family "Bacterial small subunit ribosomal RNA", at positions 524 to 776 of the family's 1533-position model. The record is from RNAcentral.